This 28-nucleotide non-coding RNA is filed under the name Mus musculus (house mouse). Lineage: Eukaryota; Metazoa; Chordata; Mammalia; Rodentia; Muridae. The record is from RNAcentral.
UUCCCGAUUCGUGUGUGCUCACCCAAGG